This 247-nucleotide RNase P RNA is filed under the name Jatrophihabitans endophyticus. RNAcentral describes it as "partial RNase P RNA component class A". It matches the Rfam family "Bacterial RNase P class A", at positions 153 to 367 of the family's 367-position model. Rfam says of the family: Ribonuclease P (RNase P) is a ubiquitous endoribonuclease, found in archaea, bacteria and eukarya as well as chloroplasts and mitochondria. Its best characterised activity is the generation of mature 5'-ends of tRNAs by cleaving the 5'-leader elements of precursor-tRNAs. Cellular RNase Ps are ribonucleoproteins. Lineage: Bacteria; Bacillati; Actinomycetota; Actinomycetes; Jatrophihabitantales; Jatrophihabitantaceae. The record is from RNAcentral.
GGUGAAACGGCGGUGUAAGAGACCACCAGCGCUCCGGGUGACCGGAGCGGCUCGGUAAACCCCACCCGGAGCAAGGUCAAGACAGGACGUGACGGCGCGAGCCGCCGCGUCCGGCGCAGACGUUCGAGGGCGGCCCGCCCGAGUCUGCGGGUAGACCGCACGAGCCUGUCGGCGACGGCAGGCCCAGAUGGAUGGCCGUCCCCCGGUCCGCCGGGGACAGAAUCCGGCUUACAGGUCGACUCGUCCG